CUACGGGAGGCUGCAGUGGGGAAUAUUGGACAAUGGGGGAAACCCUGAUCCAGCAAUGCCGCGUGUGUGAAGAAGGCCUGCGGGUUGUAAAGCACUUUCGGUUGGGAGGACUGCUUCUAGCACUAAUAUUGUCGGAAGUUGACGUUACCUUCAGAAGAAGCACCGGCUAACUCCGUGCCAGCAGCCGCGGUAAUACGGAGGGUGCAAGCGUGAAUCGGAAUUACUGGGCGUAAAGCGCGCGUAGGCGGCUAGAUCAGUCGGGUGUGAAAGCCCCGGGCUUAACCUGGGAACUGCAUCCGAUACUGUCUAGCUUGAGUACAGGAGAGGAGGGUGGAAUUCCACAUGUAGCGGUGAAAUGCGUAGAUAUGUGGAGGAACACCAAUGGCGAAGGCAGCUCUCUGGCCUGAUACUGACGCUGAGGUGCGAAAGCGUGGGGAGCAAACAGGAUUAGAUACCCUCGUAGUC
This 465-nucleotide ribosomal RNA is filed under the name uncultured bacterium. Its description in RNAcentral is "partial 16S ribosomal RNA". It matches the Rfam family "Bacterial small subunit ribosomal RNA", at positions 339 to 795 of the family's 1533-position model. The record is from RNAcentral.